Molecule: ribosomal RNA, 465 nt
Filed under: Vreelandella stevensii
Lineage: Bacteria; Pseudomonadati; Pseudomonadota; Gammaproteobacteria; Oceanospirillales; Halomonadaceae
Description: partial 16S ribosomal RNA
Rfam family: Bacterial small subunit ribosomal RNA
Source: RNAcentral
CCUACGGGAGGCUGCAGUGGGGAAUAUUGGACAAUGGGCGAAAGCCUGAUCCAGCCAUGCCGCGUGUGUGAAGAAGGCCUUCGGGUUGUAAAGCACUUUCAGUGGGGAAGAAAGCCUUGGGGCUAAUACCCUCGAGGAAGGACAUCACCCACAGAAGAAGCACCGGCUAACUCCGUGCCAGCAGCCGCGGUAAUACGGAGGGUGCGAGCGUUAAUCGGAAUUACUGGGCGUAAAGCGCGCGUAGGCGGUCUGAUAAGCCGGUUGUGAAAGCCCCGGGCUCAACCUGGGAACGGCAUCCGGAACUGUCAGGCUAGAGUGCAGGAGAGGAAGGUAGAAUUCCCGGUGUAGCGGUGAAAUGCGUAGAGAUCGGGAGGAAUACCAGUGGCCAAGGCGGCCUUCUGGACUGACACUGACGCUGAGGUGCGAAAGCGUGGGUAGCAAACAGGAUUAGAUACCCCUGUAGUC